This is a long non-coding RNA of Hemicordylus capensis (graceful crag lizard), 470 nucleotides long. RefSeq lists it as uncharacterized. The record is from RefSeq and is a predicted model, not a curated record. Lineage: Eukaryota; Metazoa; Chordata; Lepidosauria; Squamata; Cordylidae. The transcript is spliced from 4 exons.
CAGGCUCACUUGGCAGCAUUUUAGAUUAGCUGAAGCAUCUUCGAUAAAUUGGCUGUCUUCAGCUGUCAGUUUAUUAGCAGCUUAUCAGCUUAGUUGUCAAGAUGGGUGGCUGUUGGUCAUGUGUGGCCUGCAGGUCUCACCCAGAGGCAGAACCAAAGAUGAAGAUGAAGAGGGGCACUGACAGGUCAUCCCAGAAACCCAACCCAUGUUGCACCAUUUUCUGGGGGACUCCCCAAUGUUUUGGGGGACACUCUGGGGAAAGAGCUCACUGAGGAACCCUCUGUGACAGAGGGUAUAGAUCAUAUAUAGAUCGAACGGCUCACAUCCCUGAAGAUUGGGGUCUUGCCAUUGUUGUCCGAAUACACAAAAAAGGAACGCGGGACGACCCAGGCAAUUAUAGACCAAUAAGUUUGCUCAGCGUAAUAAGUAAAUUGUAUGCAAAGCACUUAUGUAUCAAGCUGUGUGUGUGG